Molecule: ribosomal RNA, 429 nt
Filed under: Fusobacteriota bacterium
Lineage: Bacteria; Fusobacteriati; Fusobacteriota
Description: Fusobacteria bacterium partial 16S ribosomal RNA
Rfam family: Bacterial small subunit ribosomal RNA
Source: RNAcentral
UGGGGAAUAUUGCGCAAUGGGCGAAAGCCUGACGCAGCGACGCCGCGUGAGGGAUGAAGGUUUUGGGAUCGUAAACCUCUGUCAGAAGGGAAGAAACCGCACUGUGCUAAUCAGCAGUGCCUUGACGGUACCUUCAAAGGAAGCACCGGCUAACUCCGUGCCAGCAGCCGCGGUAAUACGGAGGGUGCAAGCGUUAAUCGGAAUUACUGGGCGUAAAGCGCACGUAGGCUGCUUUGUAAGUCAGGGGUGAAAUCCCACGGCUCAACCGUGGAACUGCCUUUGAUACUGCUUAGCUUGAAUCCGGGAGAGGGUGGCGGAAUUCCAGGUGUAGGAGUGAAAUCCGUAGAUAUCUGGAGGAACAUCAGUGGCGAAGGCGGCCACCUGGACCGGUAUUGACGCUGAGGUGCGAAAGCGUGGGGAGCAAACAGG